RNAcentral lists this long non-coding RNA (2654 nucleotides) under Homo sapiens (human). RNAcentral's name for it is "HSALNT0068206". The record is from RNAcentral. Lineage: Eukaryota; Metazoa; Chordata; Mammalia; Primates; Hominidae.
GAAGCGAGGGACGGGGCCUCCACGGCCGGGGGCGGGACUUCCGUUGGGGGCGCGGCGGCGCUGGUGCGCACGGUGUGUACCCGCACUGGCCCGGCCCUGGUGCUGGGAGCGACUGCGUUCCCGCAAGCUGGUUUUCUCUGCCUCCGCUGGCCCGGGACACCCUGCGAAGGGCAGGGCUGAAGGAGCGCGGCCAGAGCGGUUACAGGAAGCCAGACAAAGAGAGAGAGAUACUUAACAGGAGCUGCGACCUAUGGCCAAGGGACACAGCCAGCCCUUGAUGACCCAGCAGAGAGAGCCAGGGAAGAGGCCAGGCGCGGUGACUCGUGCCAGUAAUCCCAGCACUUUGAGAGGCUGAGGCGGACAGAUCGCCGGAGCUCAGGAGUUCGAGACCACCCUGGGCAAGAUGGCAAAACCCCAUCUCUACUAAAAUACAAAAAAUUAGCCAAGCGUGGUGGCACGCGCCUAUAGUCGAAGCUAGUUGGGAGGCAGAGUCAGGAGAAUCACUUGAGCCCCGGAGGCGGAGGUUGCUGUGAGCCGAGAUUGUGCCACUGCACUCCAGCCUAGGUGACAGAGUGAAACUCCAUCUCAAAAAAAAAAAAAAAAGAGCCAGGAAAGAAACUGCCCCCACCCUGGCCCCCCCAAAACUGUGGACCUUCUUGGCUCCUGCCUAUGCGCAGAUGGUGGAAUCUUCCAGAGCAGCGCCAAGCCAGAAGGAAGCAGGCCGCAGAGCUCAGCCUCCUGAGGCUCCAGGGCAGGGACAAGUGGCCCUGAGUGAGAGAUGGGGAAACACCACCUGCAGGUCUCUUCUUUCCCUUUGGCUUUUUCCUCUACACUUGCCCGGCCUCCAGGUGCCUCAUGGACAGGGGUAGGGGAAGAGGACGAGCAGCUCAUACGAGGGGUCACCGAGCCUGUGAGAGAACUCAUGCCCAGCAGGGGGGUGGCCCAAGAAGCUGUUUCUGUGGGAGGAAGCACCCUAGUCCAUCCCCGUGAAAGCCAGGGCCCCCAGAAGUGGGGAGAAAUUGCCUGAGACGGAGAGAAGGUGUCAAGUGUCAUGCUGGAAGGUUUUGAAAAGGUAGGUCUUGCCAAUUAAGCAAAACUCAUUCAGUCCAUCUGGAGGGGCUAGACACAGAACCAUGCCCAAGUCUCUGGGUGGUCAGUCCCUGGCCCCUGUGGUUCUCCUCCUGUAGGCUUCACUCUUGGGCCCAGACUGGCAGGGCGGCCUCUGUUGGCACAGGGAGGGCCAUGGAGAAGCGUGCACCUGCUCUUCCGUGCCUGCCAGGCAGCGGCUCAGCGGCCCUACCCACAGCUCAUAGGCUACAGUUGCUUAAGGAGGCACUCCUGAGUUGAACAAGUGGGAUGGAUGAUAAUUCUUCCACGGGACUCGGGGUGUGGGGGCGUCCCCCCACAUUCCAACACAGGCUACGACACGGAUGACCCUUGAGGACACUAUGCUAAGUGAAAUAAGCUCGUCACAAAGGACAGAUACUGUCUGAUUCCACUUAUAGGAGGUUCUUAGAGUAGGUACAUUUAUAGAGACGGAUAGUAGAAGGGUGGGUGGCAGGGGCGGGGGAGAAGAGGACAGAAGUUAUUGACAGUUUCAGUUUGGGAAGAUGGAAGCAUUCUGGAGAUGGGUGGAGAUGUUUGCUCAACAGUGUGAAGGUGCUUGAUACCCCUGAGCUGUACCCUUAACAAUGGUUAAGAUACAGCCAUUAUGGAAAAGAGUAUGGAGGUUCCACAACAAAUCAAAACUAGAACUACCGUGUGAUCCAGCAAUCUCAUUGCUGAGUAUGUAUCCAAAGGAAAUGAAAUCAGUGUGUCAAAGAGACGUCUGCACUCCCAGGCUCAGCACGGCACCACUCACAAUAGCCGGGAUGUGGAACCCACCUAAGCGCUCGUCGAUGGAUUAGGUGGAUAAAGAAAACAUCGUGAAUUACUGAAUACUCUGGAGCCUUAAAAAGAAGGAAAUGUGCCAUCUGCAACAACACAGAUAAACCUGGGGGACAUUAUAACAGUGAAAUAAGCCAGGCACAGAAAGACAAAUAUUGCCCGGUCUAACUUACAUGUGGAAUCUGAAAAUGUCCAAGUCACAGAAACAGAGAGUAGGAUGCAGGUUACCAGAGGCUGUGGGUGGGUAGGAAUUGGGGAGACAUUGGUCAAAGGGCACAAAGUUUCAGCUAUGCAGGAUGAAUUAAGUUCAGAAGAUCUAUUGUACAGCAUGAUGACUAGUCAAUAAUAAUGUACCCUUGAAAAUCUCUAAGAGUAGAUUUUAAAUGUACUCAUCACAAAAAAUGGGAUGUGAAUGAUGGGACACAUUAAUUAGCUUAAUCACUCUGUAGUGUAAACAUAUAUCAAAGCAUCAGAUUGUACAAUUUUUCAUUUGUUAAUUAAAAAUAUAUAAAUAUACUAUGGGAUUUGCACUAAUUAAAAAAGUAAAAAAUAAAAAUUGUAGGCCAGGCACGGUGGCUCAUGCCUGUAAUCCCAGCUCUUUGGAAGGCUGAGGUAGGUGGCUCACUUAAGCUCAGGAGUUGGAGACCAGCCUGGGCAACACAGUGAAACCCCGUCUCUACCAAAAACACAAAAAAUUAGCUGGGCGUGGUGGUGCGUGCCUGUGGUCCCAGCUACUCAGGAGACUGAGGCAGGAGGAUCACUUGAGC